RNAcentral lists this ribosomal RNA (253 nucleotides) under uncultured bacterium. Its description in RNAcentral is "partial 16S ribosomal RNA". It matches the Rfam family "Bacterial small subunit ribosomal RNA", at positions 524 to 776 of the family's 1533-position model. The record is from RNAcentral.
UACGUAGGGUGCGAGCGUUAAUCGGAAUUACUGGGCGUAAAGCGUGCGCAGGCGGCUUCGCAAGUCAGACGUGAAAGCCCCGGGCUUAACCUGGGAAUGGCGUUUGAAACUACGGAGCUGGAGUGUGGCAGAGGGAGGUAGAAUUCCACGUGUAGCGGUGAAAUGCGUAGAUAUGUGGAGGAACACCAAUGGCGAAGGCAGCUCGCUGGGACGUGACUGACGCUGAGACGCGAAAGCGUGGGGAGCAAACAGG